This 547-nucleotide ribosomal RNA is filed under the name uncultured Glomus. Its description in RNAcentral is "SSU rRNA". It matches the Rfam family "Eukaryotic small subunit ribosomal RNA", at positions 548 to 1098 of the family's 1831-position model. Lineage: Eukaryota; Fungi; Glomeromycota; Glomeromycetes; Glomerales; Glomeraceae. The record is from RNAcentral.
UUGGAGGGCAAGUCUGGUGCCAGCAGCCGCGGUAAUUCCAGCUCCAAUAGCGUAUAUUAAAGUUGUUGCAGUUAAAAAGCUCGUAGUUGAAUUUCGGGAUCAGUAGGUUGGUCAUGCCUAUGGUAUGUACUGGCUUUACUGGUUCCUCCUUCUUGAUGAUCUGUAAUGUCAUUAAUUUGGUGUUGCAGGGAGUCAGGACUGUUACUUUGAAAAAAUUAGAGUGUUUAAAGCAGGCAUACGCUUGAAUACAUUAGCAUGGAAUAAUGAAAUAGGACGUUCGAUCCUAUUUUGUUGGUUUCUAGGAUUGACGUAAUGAUUAAUAGGGAUAGUUGGGGGCAUUAGUAUUCAAUUGUCAGAGGUGAAAUUCUUGGAUUUAUUGAAGACUAACUACUGCGAAAGCAUUUGCCAAGGAUGUUUUCAUUAAUCAAGAACGAAAGUUAGGGGAUCGAAGACGAUCAGAUACCGUCGUAGUCUUAACCAUAAACUAUGCCGACUAGGGAUCGGAUGAUGUUAUUUUUAAUGACUCAUUCGGCGCCUUACGGGAAAC